CAGCAGCCGCGGGAAUACGUAGGUGGCAAGCGUUGUCCGGAUUUAUUGGGCGUAAAGCGAGCGCAGGCGGUUCCUUAAGUCUGAUGUGAAAGCCCACGGCUCAACCCAGAGUCUGCAUGGGAAACUGUCGGGCUUGAGUAUGGGAGAGGUGAGUGGAAUUUCCGGUGUAGCGGUGAAAUGCGUAGAUAUCGGAAGGAACACCUGUGGCGAAAGCGGCUCACUGGACCAUAACUGACGCUGAGGCACGAAAGCUAGGGGAGCAAACAGGAUUAGAUACCCCAGUAGUCCCUGUCUCUUAUAC
Molecule: ribosomal RNA, 301 nt
Filed under: uncultured bacterium
Lineage: Bacteria
Description: partial 16S ribosomal RNA
Rfam family: Bacterial small subunit ribosomal RNA
Source: RNAcentral